GUGUGGGGGGGGGGGGCGCAGUGUGCGGGGGUCCAGAGGACAGAGACAUGACUGCAAGAUCAAGGUCAAUGUGGUUUUUCUUAUGCAGGAGAUUACGUCAUUCAUACUUGAAAUUCCCAUGCAGAACAAUUUGAUUAAAUACUUAUACGGUCCAGGUCACCCAGCGGUGGGGGAAGAAGACAAACAGCCCAAGGCACUUGAUCAAAGAUCCCAAGUUUCACAGACAGCAACGGUAGGUGCCUAACUGUGGAGGGUCGAUGCGCUAAAAUAUUUACUAACACGUUAUUCUCGAUGUAUGAAGCACUACCCCGAGCCCUGUCUCUGUGGAAGGGAACACGCGUAAAAACUUAAAAAAAAAAGUGCACCCACAUAAAGCUGAGUUAUGGCUACAAGAUGAGUCUCCCUUCCAUAUAAGGAACGCUUGGAAGAGAGUUAUGGACGGGAUCAUCUGUUAUUUCUCUGGGCCCGAAGACACCAAAGCCUGCGAUAAUCUUGAGUGGGAACAACUAUAUUCUCCAACGUCUCUCCUGUCUCUGAGACAGGGGUUUCAGACAGGGUGGCCUCAUCACUUAUAGAGGACAAUGGAAGCAGCUGGUGGAUUCCAUGGGACGGAAGAUACCAGAGCUGUCCCCAGGCAGGGGGCUCCUUGUUGGAAACUCAGUCCGGGAAAUAGUUUGGAGAACUUUCUUUGUGCCGGACAGUCUGCCCAUCCAGGACAACGGAGCGUUCCCGGAUGCGUGUGACAGCCCUCAGGGAAGCCUGUUGCUGUAAGGGCUCGAAAGAGAACGGCGUGGGGGGGGCUCUGCACGGACAGGUGGCAUUCGAGACGGGCGUGCAGGACGGUGGGUGCUGCUCCUCCCUGGGUCUUCAUGCAGACUGCCCCCCCCCGCCCUCAUUUCCGGCCAGCAGCCGCUUCCAAGGAGGCAGCCAGCGGGCACCGUGUCCUUCCCCACACUGGGAGGAGCUGUGGGCACCAGUCACGGACAGCGCGUGCGUGGAGGGCAAUGUUCCCAGAAGCGUGGGAGUGGGGCCCAGCCGGGCAGCUGCCCUCCCAGAUUCUGGGCCACAGCCGUCUGGCCCCGGACGAAGAAGAGGCAUGCAGGGGGCAAGGUGCUGUGGGUUCUGGAGCGACCUUGUCACCCCAGGCACCAUCGCUGGCCUUCUCCAGGGGGUGCACUGUCCCCUGCGCACAGGGUCCCACCAGCGCAGCUGCAUCCCCGACGUGGGUGAGCCCUGCUCCAGCCAGUCUCUGGUCUCCUGCCCUUGGGUCUGCUGUACCGCAGGACAGGGACCCGUGUCCCUUCUAGAAGAGCCUGCCCUUCUGCGUGGUCCACUUGGCUUGUGGGAAGGGUAAGAGAGGCAGAGACGGUGCCAGACUGAUGCUAACCUGUUCCCCUGGUCCUGCCAGGAGCCUCUUCGGGCACGAGGCCCCCAGGCUUCCUGUAAGGAGGGUCUCUGGGGGCCCCUCAGCCAGACAGCUCAGUGGGAGCCCUCUGCAACCCUCACUUAGCUCGCAGUCAGAACGUGGGGCCGGGGAAGGACCCUCCAGGGAAAGAAGGGGAGAUGCCCUGUGUGCCCAGAUUCCCCCAAGAGAAAGAGCGUCUGACAAAGGCAUGGAACGCAGACCAGGCCCCGGGAGGAAGCGCGCAGAUCUCAGGCAGGGAGAGGGCCCUUCAGGCUGAGAUUUCCUUCUGGAAUGCUAGGUUGCAUUUGUUCCAGAAUAGUAACAAGACAGUCCCCACUUUGGAAAGAAGCCGCCUUUGAUGUAUUGUCUGGUGGCAGACCACAGCUUCCCCUGGUCCACAAACAGGACGUGCACCAUGAAACACCGUGCCCAGCUGAGCCCAAGGGAAGAAGGUCUGGCCAGUAGAGGAGCGAAAGUCCAGCCUGAAAGACACGCGUGUCCUCAUAAUGCCGGGACGUUUCUCUGAUGUAAGGUAGGGAGCUCCCCGUCACCAGAAGUGUUCAAGCAGUCUGUACAGCCGUGUGACGCCAGACUUGAAGCUUCUUGCCAGUCCUGCUAGACUGAAAGCAACUUAAAGAGACCUCAGACCACCCCCUGUCCCCCGGUGGUUUGAAAGCUCAGACUGUGACCCAAUGCGGAUCAUUUCUGGCUUACCAAGGGAGCUCCGCCAUCAUACUUCACGGGGUGGGGGGUGGGGGUGUCUGAAUCUUUUAUGGUUUUGUUCCCAGCCUUGUGAGGUCGGUGGGGGGCGAACCCUUUAUUUCAGGAAGGUAGCAGGAGCUGAGAGGAGCGUGUGUUCAAAUUCACAUUCCCCUAUGUUUUUGGAGUCCCAGGGAAAGGCUCUGACUGGCCAGAGCCCUCUCCCCUGCACCUCGUUAUUGCCAGGCUCACCCAAGCUGCCACAGUCUGUCAUGCAAGGAGCGCUUCAUCUCAAGACCUUGGCUUUGGAGGGGAAAAGGGGGGGAUGCUUGCCCCACCUUUGCAAUGUAUCUCUACGGUGUAUCAGUUGCCUAUAAAAUUCACACGUCACUUUUGAAAUUUAAAAACGGCUGUUUUAACAUUGCUCAGUUGGACCGGGGUGAUCCCCAUCACAGCUCGGCCCCCUUUGGCAUAGAGCCGACUCAUCAACCCAGCGAUGCCAUCUGAAGUCUGAAGCAAUGGCUAGUUCUUCAGAUUGCCUGCAACCGAAUGACCUGGAAAGAAGGAAUGCACAGCUAGCGAACGGAGUGUUGUUUCAUGUGCGGCCUGACUUCUCCGGCCCUGGCGUUCCAGACCUACAGUCCCGUGGCCUGCUCUUGGCCGGCUUCCCUAAGUCCUAAACGUCCCGACCUUACACCAACACCUCGUGUGGGGGCCUCUCUCUGGGAUGAAGGUCGUCGGGGAGGCAAGGCGAGUUUGUGAUAAUUACACUCUCGAAGGGGUAAAGCCUGUUGAUGGUUGCCACGUGGAGACCGUGAACCUGUGUGGUCAAGUUGUUUCUCCCAAGUAAGUCGUUAGCUGCCCGGGUCCUUCUUCCUGGGUAGGAACAAACACUACAUGCCAGCCUCCGAAUUUGGAAUCGUUCUUCGGGUGUGUGUGUGUGUGUGUGUGUGUGUGCACGUGUGUGUGCCGGUGAGCUGGCACUCACAAGCCGUCUGUGACUCAGAGGCACCCAUGAUCCCUCCCUCUUCUGUCUUUCUGUUUGGACUCAGACCCCCUCUGCUCGGCAGGCAUGUGUUUGCUGCGGCUCCAAAUCUCCACUUGUUCUCCGCCUUCUGCGGCUGCUUCUCAGGGCACCGCCACCCCGGCCAGCAGCAACAGAGGAAACACAGGAAAACCUGGAAAAAUAUUUGUUUCACUAGCAGAAGUGAUCUGCGUGAGGCUCCGAGGGAUCCGGGUCCGUUUUUAACUGGCUGGCCGAGAGCCGGGCCGGAUGAGUUUUCCUGCAGGACUGUUUUUG
Molecule: long non-coding RNA, 3404 nt
Organism: Herpailurus yagouaroundi (jaguarundi)
Lineage: Eukaryota; Metazoa; Chordata; Mammalia; Carnivora; Felidae
Exons: 3
Source: RefSeq, a predicted model, not a curated record